AAAACAGGCGAUAAAUCAUUCAAGUUUCUGACCUAUCAGCUUUCGACGGUAUGGUAUUGGCUUACCGUGGCAGUGACGGUUAACGGGGGAUUAGGGUUCGAUUCCGGAGAGGGAGCCUGAGAAACGGCUACCACAUCUAAGGAAGGCAGCAGGCGCGCAAAUUACCCAAUUCUAACAGUUUGAGAGAGGUAGUAACAAGAAAUAACAAUACAAGGCAGUUAAAUGCUUUGUAAUUGGAAUGAUAGAAAUUUAAACCCUUUUUAAAGUAUCAAUUGGAGGGCAAGUCUGGUGCCAGCAGCCGCGGUAAUUCCACUCCAAUAGCGUAUAUUAAAAUUGUUGCAGUUAAAAAGCUCGUAGUUGAAGUUCUGCUGAAAGUAACCGGUCUGCUUUUAAUAAAGUGGUAUCUUGGUAUGUAUUUAGCAAUGAUGUCCUUUGAAGGUGUUUUUUACUUUAUUGUAAAAAGCAUAUUCAGGACUUUUAC
RNAcentral lists this ribosomal RNA (481 nucleotides) under Hepatozoon canis. Its description in RNAcentral is "bacterial SSU rRNA". It matches the Rfam family "Eukaryotic small subunit ribosomal RNA", at positions 280 to 755 of the family's 1831-position model. Lineage: Eukaryota; Apicomplexa; Hepatozoidae. The record is from RNAcentral.